RNAcentral lists this transfer-messenger RNA (354 nucleotides) under Desulfobacteraceae. RNAcentral's name for it is "4572-130 sp002084425 Standard tmRNA". It matches the Rfam family "transfer-messenger RNA". From Rfam's summary of the family: Bacterial tmRNA, also known as 10Sa RNA or SsrA, is named for its dual tRNA and mRNA-like properties. Its role is to liberate the mRNA from a stalled ribosome. RNAcentral also lists the same sequence under 2 other names. Lineage: Bacteria; Pseudomonadati; Thermodesulfobacteriota; Desulfobacteria; Desulfobacterales. The record is from RNAcentral.
GGGGGCGAAAAGGCUUCGACGGAAAUCAUGAGGUUUUUGGUAGCAUACCGAGUUGCUUACUCGUAAAACAAGUAAAACUAAAUAUAAUUGCAGACGAUUAUAAUUACGCCGUAGCAGCCUAGAGCAGCUACCGUCCUUAUUAAAAUCUUUUCUGCAGAUUUAAUAAAGGGCGUCGACUAAGCAGAAAAGCUAUAAAAGAAAGCCUGAUUUUUUUAUGGUUAAAUUUUUUCAGGCUAUUUUGGAAAGUAUCCAUUCUGAAGGAGACUUCCAAUAAAAUUUAAAUUUCAGAAUAAGUAUGUAGAAGCCAUUACUAACUAUUUUCGGACGCGGGUUCAAUUCCCGCCGCCUCCACCA